RNAcentral lists this ribosomal RNA (306 nucleotides) under Triticum aestivum (bread wheat). RNAcentral's name for it is "partial small subunit ribosomal RNA". The record is from RNAcentral. Lineage: Eukaryota; Viridiplantae; Streptophyta; Magnoliopsida; Poales; Poaceae.
AUGAUGUGCGGUUUCAGUACUACUAGCUGUGAGGAGGAGGAGGUUAGCCUUGAUGGCCAGGUGGUACCUCGGAAGGACACCUUUCGGUAUUUGGGGUCAAUGUUGCAGGAGGAUGGGGGUAUUGAUGAAGAUGUGAACCAUCGAAUCAAAGCCGGAUGGAUGAAGUGGCGCCAAGCUUCUGGCAUUCUCUGUGACAAGAGAGUGCCACAAAAGCUAAAAGGCAAGUUCUGCAGGACGGCGGUUCGACCCGCAAUGUUGUAUGGCGCGAGUGUUGGCCGACUAAAAGGCGACAUGUUCAACAGUUAG